Molecule: unclassified non-coding RNA, 217 nt
Filed under: Hevea brasiliensis (rubber tree)
Lineage: Eukaryota; Viridiplantae; Streptophyta; Magnoliopsida; Malpighiales; Euphorbiaceae
Source: RNAcentral
CCGAAGCCCCAAACUUCCCAACCUAAGCUCCACAAAAAUCAAAUUGACACCAAAAUCAAGAAACACUCGUCAGGAAAAUCUCAUUUCUUUUUCUUUUACUUUUCAGUAACAAAUCAAAGAAAUGAGAUACUAGAAAACCCUUUAGGAUUAUUGUUUCAUCUAUGGAAAGUGAAAAAAAAAUGAGCUUGAGCUCUGAUGCUUUGACCACUACUCUCUC